Molecule: long non-coding RNA, 794 nt
Organism: Cydia fagiglandana
Lineage: Eukaryota; Metazoa; Arthropoda; Insecta; Lepidoptera; Tortricidae
Exons: 3
Source: RefSeq, a predicted model, not a curated record
UGUAGCGUAUGUACGACUUUCUAUCAGAACGUUGUAAUAGGUUUGAACUCGCAGUGGGCGUUACUUAGAUUACUCCUGUGCAGAAAAAAGCGGCCAAGUGCGAGUCGGACUCGCCCAUGAAGGGUUCCAUAGCAGCAAGCUACAAUAAAAUUGCGGUUUACGAUUUAUGACGUAUUAAAAAAAACUACUUACUAGAUCUCGUUCAAACCAAUUUUCGGUGGAAGUUUGCAUAGUAAUGUAUAUCAUAUAUUUUUUUUUAGUUUUAUCAUUCUCUUAUUUUAGAAAUUACAGGGAAGGACACACAUUUUACCACUUUGGAAGUGUCUCUCGCGCAAACUAUUCAGUUUAGAAAAAAAUAUAUAUUAGAAACCUCAAUAUCAUUUUUGAAGACCUAUCCAUAGAUACCCCACACCAGCAAGUAACAUAAUAAAAUUACAGUUUACGAUUUAUGACGUAUUAAAAAAAACUACUCACUAGAUCUCGUUCAAACCAAUUUUCGGUGGAAGUUUGCAUGGUAAUGAUGGUCAUAUAUUUUUUUUAGUCUUAUCAUUCUCUUAUUUUAGAAGUUACAGAGGGGGGGACACACAUUUUACCACUUUGGAAGUGUAUCUCGCGCAAACUAUUCAGUUUAGAAAAAAAUGAUAUUAGAAACCUCAAUAUCAUUUUUGAAGCACACAUAUGGGUUUGAUGAAAAAAAAAUUUUGAGUUUCAGUUCUAAGUAUGGGGAGCCCCCAAAAUUUAUUGUUUUAUUAUUUUUUUUGUGUCAAAAUCUUAAGGCGGUUCACAGAAUACAU